UUCCCCUUCCAUUCCCCAGUCGAACCGCGUUGAUCCUUUCACGUUGAAGAUGCUAUAAUUGCCUAUUUUGAGCGGAAUCUUUCUGACUGGUAUGUGUGAUGGAAAUCUGGGUGUUGGGUUGAUUGAUUGGAUGGAGGGUUUUGAGGAAGUUGAAAAAUCCACCCUAUCACGUAUUCACGUAUUCACCCUUAUCACACUGCUUAAGCAAGCGGUGUGACCACAAAUCUAAGUCUGUUACAAUAAGUUUAAGUCGAGGAGUGUAUAUCUUGAGCCUUGAACGCCAUGGCAUUCGUAGCAUCCCAAAUUCUCCGUAGGAUGGCAAGGAGAAUAAAAGGCCAUGCAUCGUUGUUGAGCCCCGGUGGCGUUGUUGCAUUCCAAAGAGAUGAUGUGCUGGAGGAGUGGAGAAAGGUGACUACUCUUUGCCAAAUCCUGUUGGCCAGUGGACAUGUGAUGAAGAGAUAAUCUGUGUCUUCCAAUUGAGAGCACCUUGGGCAGUACGGGUUUGAGGUAAUGGAUUUAUGCGCCAAAUUUGCUUUUGUGUUUAGCCUGCCCUUGAAGAGAAGCGAAGUGAAGACCUCGAUCUUGUUUGGUACCUUGGAUUGCCAAAUGAACUGUGUGUGGUUGUCUUUAUCAUCUUCUUUUGUUAACAGCUUAUAGGUUCUCUUGGUCGUGAAAGCAUGGCCCCCAUCGAGGAAGUGAGAGUCUGGUUCAUCUGUGAGCCUAAAAUCCUGCAGGAAAAAAAAGAGUCCAGUUCUAGGGAAGCAGUACUAAUUAGGUGGUUAUGCAGGUUAAGUUCCAAACCGAAACACAUAAUAUUUGCCAUAACAAGAGGACCAAUGGAAUGGGAAAAGAGGCAUGGGAACAAAGAAGCCAAAGGUUUAGAAGAAAGCCAAGUAUCUAGCCAGAAAGAAAAGAGGGGUGAGAAUCAAGCACUACGAAAGCAUUGGGGUGUUGUAAGGAAAGCCAAUCCAACCAGGGUGUGGGAGAGGGGAGCCAAUCCAAUCAUAGAUUAGAUGUUGCUGAAAGCGUGCUGAGAAUGUUAAGAGGGGUCGUGGU
Molecule: long non-coding RNA, 1056 nt
Organism: Hordeum vulgare subsp. vulgare (domesticated barley)
Lineage: Eukaryota; Viridiplantae; Streptophyta; Magnoliopsida; Poales; Poaceae
Exons: 3
Source: RefSeq, a predicted model, not a curated record